This 481-nucleotide ribosomal RNA is filed under the name uncultured bacterium. Its description in RNAcentral is "partial 16S ribosomal RNA". It matches the Rfam family "Bacterial small subunit ribosomal RNA", at positions 28 to 507 of the family's 1533-position model. The record is from RNAcentral.
GAUGAACGCUGGCGGCGUGCUUAACACAUGCAAGUCGAACGAAGCAUUUGCGACAGAUUUUUUCGGAAUGAAGUUGCUUAUGACUGAGUGGCGGACGGGUGAGUAACGCGUGGGUAACCUGCCUUGUACUGGGGGAUAGCAGCUGGAAACGGCUGGUAAUACCGCAUAAGCGCACAAUGUUGCAUGACAUGGUGUGAAAAACUCCGGUGGUAUAAGAUGGACCCGCGUCUGAUUAGCUAGUUGGUGAGAUAACAGCCCACCAAGGCGACGAUCAGUAGCCGACCUGAGAGGGUGACCGGCCACAUUGGGACUGAGACACGGCCCAGACUCCUACGGGAAGCAGCAGUGGGGAAUAUUGCACAAUGGAGGAAACUCUGAUGCAGCGACGCCGCGUGAGUGAAGAAGUAAUUCGUUAUGUAAAGCCCUAUCAGCAGGGAAGAUAGUGACGGUACCUGACUAAGAAGCUCCGGCUAAAUACGUG